CCUACGUGAGGCAGCAGUGGGGAAUAUUGCACAAUGGGGGAAACCCUGCUCCAGCGACGCCGCGUGAGUGAAGAAGUAAUUCGUUAUUUAACGCUCUAUCAGCAGGGAAGAAAAUGACGGUACCUGAGUAAGAAGCCACGGCCAACUACGUUCCAGCAGCCGCGGUAACACGUAGGGUGCCAGCGUUAUCCGGAUUUAUUGGGUUUAAAGGGAGCGUAGACGGUAGUGCAAGUCUGGAGUGAAAGGCGGGGGCUCAACCCCCGAACUGCUCUGGAAACUGUACGGCUUGAGUGCAGGAGAGGUAAGUGGAAUGCCGAGUGUAGCGGUGAAAUGCGUAGAUAUUAGGAGGAACACCAGUGGCGAAGGCGGCUUACUGGACUGUAACUGACGUUGAGGCUCGAAAGCGUGGGGAGCAAACAGGAUUAGAUACCCCUGUAGUC
Molecule: ribosomal RNA, 440 nt
Filed under: uncultured bacterium
Lineage: Bacteria
Description: partial 16S ribosomal RNA
Rfam family: Bacterial small subunit ribosomal RNA
Source: RNAcentral